AGUGAACGCUGGCGGUAGGCCUAACACAUGCAAGUCGAACGGCAGCACAGUAAGAGCUUGCUCUUACGGGUGGCGAGUGGCGGACGGGUGAGGAAUACAUCGGAAUCUACUUUUUCGUGGGGGAUAACGUAGGGAAACUUACGCUAAUACCGCAUACGACCUACGGGUGAAAGCAGGGGAUCUUCGGACCUUGCGCGAUUGACUGAGCCGAUGUCGGAUUAGCUAGUUGGCGGGGUAAAGGCCCACCAAGGCGACGAUCCGUAGCUGGUCUGAGAGGAUGAACAGCCACACUGGAACUGAGACACGGUCCAGACUCCUACGGGAGGCAGCAGUGGGGAAUAUUGGACAAUGGGCGCAAGCCUGAUCCAGCCAUACCGCGUGGGUGAAGAAGGCCUUCGGGUUGUAAAGCCCUUUUGUUGGGAAAGAAAAGCAGCAGGUUAAUACCCCGCUGUUCUGACGGUACCCAAAGAAUAAGCACCGGCUAACUUCGUG
This 492-nucleotide ribosomal RNA is filed under the name uncultured bacterium. Its description in RNAcentral is "partial 16S ribosomal RNA". It matches the Rfam family "Bacterial small subunit ribosomal RNA", at positions 29 to 507 of the family's 1533-position model. The record is from RNAcentral.